This 113-nucleotide non-coding RNA is filed under the name Roseiflexus sp. RNAcentral's name for it is "TPP sequence". It matches the Rfam family "TPP riboswitch aptamer (THI element)". From Rfam's summary of the family: Vitamin B(1) in its active form thiamin pyrophosphate (TPP) is an essential coenzyme that is synthesised by coupling of pyrimidine and thiazole moieties in bacteria. Lineage: Bacteria; Bacillati; Chloroflexota; Chloroflexia; Chloroflexales; Roseiflexaceae. The record is from RNAcentral.
AAGCGUGUAUGAGGGAGCUCGGAGGACCGGGCUGAGAGGAUGGUCAAAUCCACCAUCGACCUCAUGAACCUGAUCUGGGUAAUACCAGCGAAGGGAAUACACGGUAGUAAAGC